Molecule: long non-coding RNA, 1721 nt
Organism: Piliocolobus tephrosceles (Ugandan red Colobus)
Lineage: Eukaryota; Metazoa; Chordata; Mammalia; Primates; Cercopithecidae
Source: Ensembl
AAAUAAGUAAAACUAGUUGCCGUCUAAAAUGGCUAGCGAAUUUACAGAGAUUAACAGUAAUAUAGUAAGAAAUAAAAAUAAUAACCAAAUAGAAAAUUUGAAUAAGGUUGUAAAUAAAAAAAAAAACACAAUCCUAUACUCAAAUCCAAUUAAGUUUAGUAAUGAACAGAAUGGACAAUUUUUACCAAAGGAACAUAGUAAAGUAUAUACUAGAAACGUAUUAAAUAGUAGCUUUAAUAGAAAUAUAAAAAAUAAAAACAUGGCUUAUAAUGAUAAGGAUGUGUUAAUACAUGGUACUAAGUAUGUAGAUGAUAACUGUAGUGGUGUUGGUGUUGGUGGUGGUAGUGGUGUUGGUGGUGGUAGUGGUGUUGGUGUUGGUGGUGGUAGUGGUGUUGGUGGUGGUAGUGGUGUUGGUGGUGGUAGUGGUGUUGGUGGUGGUAGUGGUGUUGGUGUUGAUAGUGGUGUUGGUAGUGGUGAUGGUAGUGGUGGUAGUGAUAAAUAUCCAUUUCCAACCGAUCUUGACGUUUCUAAACAGGAAAGUACGUUAAAAGAUAUCCCGAAAUUAAUUAAAGAAGUAGUCAUUAAAAAGGAGUUGUGCAAUUUAACGAAUGCUUUGUAUAAUGGUAAAACUACCAACUUGGAUGAAGAUAAAACAGAUGUAGGUACAGAAAAAGAUAUACAUAUGAAGGUUGUAAAAAAAAGAGAAAAUUGUAUGAAUUCGAAUAUUCCGAGUGGUGAGAUAGAUGUUAUUGUGGACGAAUCUAGUAAUAGUUUAAAAACAAAAAAAAAAGAAAAACAAAAUAUGAACAUGAACAUGAACAUGAACAUGAACAUAUCAGAAAUAAUUUAUGAUACUAAACGCAUUUUAAAAAACAGUGAUAGUAAUAUAUUACAUAAUCCGAAUGAAAUAGGUAGUAGUCUAAAUUGUAAUUCGUGGGAAAGUUGUGAUGGGUAUUUAAACAACCUUAAUGAUAACAGUGGUAUUAAUAGUAAUAUCAAUUUGCUUAUGCAAAAUCGAAAUGGUGUAAAUUUAAUUAAAGAAAAGUUUUUACUUCCAAAUGGUUAUAACAAUAGCAGUAGUAAUAUAAACCGAAAAGGAGAAAUUGACCUGAAUGAUGAUAUGUGUCAUAGUAAAUUUACUUUACUUUCUUUCAUUAGAGAAGGAUUAACAAACACAGUACACCGUUUUAACAAUUAUGAUAAAAUAAAAAAUAAGAAUGAAAAAAAAUUAAUACAAAUAGCACAAAACAUAAACAUGCUUAUUAGGUCAUAUAGUAAUUUAAUAAUUCAAAUAGAAGAUAAAUUAGAGUUAACUAAAAACAAAAUAAAGUGCUUAUACAUGUCUUAUAAAUUGACUGACAAAUGUUUAAACCAAAAUAAGAUAACUGAAAUAGAAGAAAAUAAUAAAAACGAAUCGAAAGCAGAAUGUGUUAAUGAUGAAAAAAAUACUUGUAGUACCAAUAGCACAAACAAUAAUUUAAUAGAGGAUGUGGAUAUCGCAAAGGAAAUAAAACUAAACGAUUUGGGCAAACGUGGUAAUACAUAUUGUACUAGCUAUGAAAAUUACAAUAAAAAAAACGUUAGUUUUAUUAACGAUGCAGGUGAAAAUGUAGAAAGUUUGACUAAAAGUAAAAUAAAUGCUUUUUACUCAGAUAGUAAUGAUGUAUGUAGUAACACAAGUGGUGGUAAUAACUUAAGUGGUGGUAAUAACAUAAGUGGUG